This 24-nucleotide non-coding RNA is filed under the name Arabidopsis thaliana (thale cress). The record is from RNAcentral. Lineage: Eukaryota; Viridiplantae; Streptophyta; Magnoliopsida; Brassicales; Brassicaceae.
AUUGUCGGAACCAUGUGAGUGAGG